This 274-nucleotide ribosomal RNA is filed under the name uncultured bacterium. Its description in RNAcentral is "partial 16S ribosomal RNA". It matches the Rfam family "Bacterial small subunit ribosomal RNA", at positions 523 to 796 of the family's 1533-position model. The record is from RNAcentral.
AUACGAAAGGUGCAAGCGUUGUUCGGAUUUACAGGGCGUAAAGAGAUCGUAGGUGGUUUAUUAAGUCGGAUGUGAAAUCCCGGGGCUCAACCCCGGAACUGCAUUCGAUACUGGUAGACUAGAGUUUGGGAGGGGUAAGCGGAAUUCCGUGUGUAGCAGUGAAAUGCGUAGAUAUACGGAGGAACACCUGAGGCGAAGGCGGCUUACUGGACCAAUACUGACACUGAGGAUCGAAAGCGUGGGUAGCAAACAGGAUUAGAUACCCUAGUAGUCC